UACGUAGGGUGCAAGCGUUAAUCGGAAUUACUGGGCGUAAAGCGUGCGCAGGCGGUUAUGCAAGACAGAGGGGAAAUCCCCGGGCUCAACCUGGGAACUGCCUUUGUGACUGCAUAGCUAGAGUACGGUAGAGGGGGAUGGAAUUCCGCGUGUAGCAGUGAAAUGCGUAGAUAUGCGGAGGAACACCGAUGGCGAAGGCAAUCCCCUGGACCUGUACUGACGCUCAUGCACGAAAGCGUGGGGAGCAAACAGG
Molecule: ribosomal RNA, 253 nt
Filed under: uncultured bacterium
Lineage: Bacteria
Description: partial 16S ribosomal RNA
Rfam family: Bacterial small subunit ribosomal RNA
Source: RNAcentral